RNAcentral lists this non-coding RNA (30 nucleotides) under Mus musculus (house mouse). Lineage: Eukaryota; Metazoa; Chordata; Mammalia; Rodentia; Muridae. The record is from RNAcentral.
UGAUCAAGGCUGUCCACUGGUGUCUGGAUU